Molecule: ribosomal RNA, 325 nt
Filed under: uncultured eukaryote
Lineage: Eukaryota
Description: partial 18S ribosomal RNA
Rfam family: Eukaryotic small subunit ribosomal RNA
Source: RNAcentral
CCCUUAGAUGUUCUGGGCCGCACGCGCGCUACACUGAUGCAUUCAACGAGCCUAUCCUUGAACGACAGGUCCGGGUAAUCUUUGAAUCUGCAUCGUGACGGGGAUAGAUUAUUGCAAUUAUUAAUCUUCAACGAGGAAUGCCUAGUAGGCGCAAGUCAUCAGCUUGCGUCGAUUACGUCCCUGCCCUUUGUACACACCGCCCGUCGCUCCUACCGAUUGGGUGUGCUGGUGAAAUGUUCGGAUCGGCCGUUUGUCGCGGUUUCCGCGGCUCGUGGCUGAGAAGUUCAUUAAACCCUCCCACCUAGAGGAAGGAGAAGUCGUAACA